GACGAACCGUACGAACGUUAUUCGGAAUUCCUGGGCUUAAAGGGUGCGUAGGCGGCGCAGUAAGUUGGGUGUGAAAUCCCUCGGCUUAACCGAGGAAUUGCGCCCAAAACUACUGUGCUCGAGGGAGAUAGAGGUGAGCGGAACUUAGGGUGGAGCGGUGAAAUGCGUUGAUAUCCUAAGGAACACCGGUGGCGAAAGCGGCUCACUGGAUCUCUUCUGACGCUGAGGCACGAAAGCUAGGGUAGCAAACGGG
RNAcentral lists this ribosomal RNA (253 nucleotides) under uncultured bacterium. RNAcentral's name for it is "partial 16S ribosomal RNA". It matches the Rfam family "Bacterial small subunit ribosomal RNA", at positions 524 to 776 of the family's 1533-position model. The record is from RNAcentral.